UCCGAGUUGACCCCGGCAGUCUUCGAUGAGUCCCCGCCAUAACGCGCUGGCAACAUCGAACGAGGGUUGCGCUCGUUGCGGGACUUAACCCAACAUCUCACGACACGAGCUGACGACAGCCAUGCAGCACCUGUGUACUGGUUCUCUUGCGAGCACUCCCUAAUCUCUCAGGGAUUCCAGCCAUGUCAAGGGUAGGUAAGGUUUUUCGCGUUGCAUCGAAUUAAUCCACAUCAUCCACCGCUUGUGCGGGUCCCCGUCAAUUCCUUUGAGUUUUAAUCUUGCGACCGUACUCCCCAGGCGGGGUGCUUAAUGCGUUAGCUUCGGCACGGACGGAGUUGACACCGCCCACACCUAGCACCCAUCGUUUACGGCGUGGACUAC
Molecule: unclassified non-coding RNA, 381 nt
Filed under: uncultured bacterium
Lineage: Bacteria
Description: contains 16S-23S intergenic spacer region
Source: RNAcentral